RNAcentral lists this long non-coding RNA (445 nucleotides) under Mustela putorius furo (domestic ferret). RNAcentral describes it as "lncRNA (ENSMPUG00000026723.1)". Lineage: Eukaryota; Metazoa; Chordata; Mammalia; Carnivora; Mustelidae. The record is from RNAcentral.
CCCUUCCAGGCAGUGGGCAGUGUGCUGCCAUGGACCUGGGGCCUCUAGAAGGCGGGUACCUGGAGCUUCUCAACAGCAGUGCUGAUCCCUUGCAGCUCUACCACCUCUAUGACCAGACGGACCUGGCUAGAGAAGAGCUUGAGCUCUGCUCAGAACCCGACAUGGACACCAUCAACUGCGAGCAGUUCAGCAAACUGUUGUGUGACAUCGAAGGUGAUGAAGAGACCAGGGAGGCUUAUGCCAAUAUCGGUGAGGAAGCAUUCUGAACCCAGAAAAAGGCCAGUUGAGGGGAAGAGUUCCUUUUUCUCUUUUGCUAACCUCACCCAUUCACCACAAAUCACAGCAGGAUCCUCCCUCAUAAAUUAGGGCAAGGGGGGUGGGUGGGAUUGCAGAGCAAGAGCUAGAAAAGAGACUCCAGGGAAAUGGAGAGAUGACCUCUUGCCCA